GUUCCUACAAUGAAUAUGCUACAGCCAAUAUACACCUCAAGAUUUUGAAUGGCUAGGAGAUCGAGUUAUGGUGUAAUCAAACUAUAACACACUCAAGGUGAACUGUCGAUGCACCUCAGAUCAAAGAACUAGAUACACAACUGCAGCAUCGAGCUAGUCAUCGACGAGAAGGUAGACUUCCUUAUGACUGCUCGAUAUGGUCACACUCAGUACUCCAUUCUCAAUGAAUACCUGUACUCUCACUUCGGUAUCUCCACACUAUAGACUCAAGACACAUCUACCCUAAGA
Molecule: long non-coding RNA, 288 nt
Filed under: Elaeis guineensis (African oil palm)
Lineage: Eukaryota; Viridiplantae; Streptophyta; Magnoliopsida; Arecales; Arecaceae
Description: long non-coding RNA (EGUI_LNC062737)
Source: RNAcentral